Macadamia integrifolia is the source of this 461-nucleotide long non-coding RNA. RefSeq lists it as uncharacterized. The record is from RefSeq and is a predicted model, not a curated record. NCBI's taxonomy places the organism in Eukaryota, Viridiplantae, Streptophyta, Magnoliopsida, Proteales, Proteaceae. The transcript has 2 exons.
GGAAAGGAGAAGAAGGAGAGGAAAAAAAAGAGAGAAGAAAGGGAAAGGAAGGAGAAAGAAGAAGAAGAGGUGCAGCAGCCUUCUACUGUUGUACGCUACUUCAGCUGCUGCUAUUCAGCCAUGGCUGCUGUAGAUAUGGAUGCAUGCAAGUGCCAUGUGCUAUUCACAACAAGGAGAAGUUGUCUUGGUCUUGAUCCAGCGGAAGACUUGAGUGAAGGACUGCUGAUCAACUGCAUGCAUAUACCAAGAAAAUGUAAUUGAAGGUUUUGAAGUUGAAGCAAAGAAGAUCAAGAGAUUAGGUGCAGAUGAAGUCAUGGACAGAGAGUGAUUAUGAACAAGGACUUUGAUACUUUGUGUUUUAUAUUGUAAAUUUAGUGUAAGUGGUAUUAUGAAUUUUGUUGUAACCUGUGGACAUAAUAAAUGCGUCUAUAAUAUUAUAAAGUUAUCAUUGUAGCUGAUCA